GUGGGGAAUAUUGGACAAUGGGCGAAAGCCUGAUCCAGCCAUGCCGCGUGUGUGAAGAAGGUCUUCGGAUUGUAAAGCACUUUAAGUUGGGAGGAAGGGCAUUAACCUAAUACGUUAGUGUUUUGACGUUACCGACAGAAUAAGCACCGGCUAACUUCGUGCCAGCAGCCGCGGUAAUACGAAGGGUGCAAGCGUUAAUCGGAAUUACUGGGCGUAAAGCGCGCGUAGGUGGUUCAGUAAGUUGGAUGUGAAAUCCCCGGGCUCAACCUGGGAACUGCAUCCAAAACUGCUGAGCUAGAGUACGGUAGAGGGUGGUGGAAUUUCCUGUGUAGCGGUGAAAUGCGUAGAUAUAGGAAGGAACACCAGUGGCGAAGGCGACCACCUGGACUGAUACUGACACUGAGGUGCGAAAGCGUGGGGAGCAAACAGGAUUAGAUACCCGUGUAGUCC
This 450-nucleotide ribosomal RNA is filed under the name uncultured bacterium. Its description in RNAcentral is "bacterial SSU rRNA". It matches the Rfam family "Bacterial small subunit ribosomal RNA", at positions 354 to 796 of the family's 1533-position model. The record is from RNAcentral.